GGGCCGGUAGCUCAGCUGGUAGAGCAACGCACUUUUAAUGCGUGGGUCACAGGUUCGAAUCCUGUCCGGCUCA
This 73-nucleotide transfer RNA is filed under the name Spirochaetota bacterium. RNAcentral's name for it is "tRNA-Lys". It matches the Rfam family "tRNA". Rfam says of the family: Transfer RNA (tRNA) molecules are approximately 80 nucleotides in length. Their secondary structure includes four short double-helical elements and three loops (D, anti-codon, and T loops). Further hydrogen bonds mediate the characteristic L-shaped molecular structure. tRNAs have two regions of fundamental functional importance: the anti-codon, which is responsible for specific mRNA codon recognition, and the 3' end, to which the tRNAs corresponding amino acid is attached (by aminoacyl-tRNA synthetases). tRNAs cope with the degeneracy of the genetic code in two manners: having more than one tRNA (with a specific anti-codon) for a particular amino acid; and 'wobble' base-pairing, i.e. permitting non-standard base-pairing at the 3rd anti-codon position. The record is from RNAcentral. RNAcentral also lists the same sequence under 1 other name. Lineage: Bacteria; Pseudomonadati; Spirochaetota.